GACGUAGGACCCAAGCGUUAUCCGGAAUUACUGGGCGUAAAGAGUUGCGUAGGUGGCAUAGCAAGCAAAUAGUGAAAUGAUGUGGCUCAACCACAUGUCCAUUAUUUGAACUGCUAAGCUUGAGCACAUGAGAGGUAGCUGGAAUUGCUGGUGUAGGAGUGAAAUCCGUAGAUAUCAGCAGGAACACCGAUGGCGUAGGCAGGCUACUGGCAUGUUGCUGACACUAAGGCACGAAAGCGUGGGGAGCGAACGGG
RNAcentral lists this ribosomal RNA (254 nucleotides) under uncultured bacterium. RNAcentral describes it as "partial 16S ribosomal RNA". It matches the Rfam family "Bacterial small subunit ribosomal RNA", at positions 524 to 776 of the family's 1533-position model. The record is from RNAcentral.